This 425-nucleotide long non-coding RNA is filed under the name Salvia miltiorrhiza (redroot sage). Its description in RNAcentral is "long non-coding RNA (SMIL_LNC000165)". The record is from RNAcentral. Lineage: Eukaryota; Viridiplantae; Streptophyta; Magnoliopsida; Lamiales; Lamiaceae.
AAAUUUUGAUAUAAAUGAUUAGGAGUAUUAGGUUCCAAAUGAAAAAGUGAAAAUAUAAUUAUAAACAGAUCCUGUCUGAGUUUCUUGUAAAUAUAGUUUAAAAAAAAGAAUAGAAUUAUAUUGUUCAUGUAUAUAGAUUUUACAUGCGUACAUGUAUGUGUGUGUGUGUUUAUUGUUGGUACGUAAAGCUGCUAGCUAAAGCUAAUGUAUAUUGUUUUUAUGUGUAGCUACAUUUGCAAAGAUCCAUUUUGGCAGUGGCUCCUCAGGCGCUGCCUACCAAGGUGGAAACAGCUUUAUUUAUCGGCCCACCUUCUCAAACACACUGGCAAACGCCAUGAAUAUAUAUCAUUCUUAUACUUUUUUUUUCUGUUCAUCAAAUAUAAUUUUCUUUUUUAGACUUCUGACAAAAUAAUGUGCAUAUAUAU